RNAcentral lists this ribosomal RNA (494 nucleotides) under uncultured bacterium. RNAcentral's name for it is "partial 16S ribosomal RNA". It matches the Rfam family "Bacterial small subunit ribosomal RNA", at positions 28 to 507 of the family's 1533-position model. The record is from RNAcentral.
GACGAACGCUGGCGGCGCGCUUAACACAUGCAAGUCGAACGGAAAGGCCUGCUUUCCCUUGUGGAUUGCGGGUACUCGAGUGGCGAACGGGUGAGUAACACGUGAGUGAUCUGCCCCCAACUUGGGUAUAAGCCUGGGAAACUGGGUCUAAUUCCCGAUAGGACUGCAGGGUGGUGCCUGUGGUGGAAAACGAUUUUCUAGUGGUUGGGGAUGAGCUCGCGGCCUAUCAGCUUGUUGGUGGGGUAAUGGCCUACCAAGGCGGCGACGGGUAGCCGGCCUGGGAGGGUGGACGGCCACAUUGGGACUGAGAGACGGCCCAGACUCCUACGGGAGGCAGCAGUGGGGAAUAUUGCACAAUGGGCGGAAGCCUGAUGCAGCGACGCCGCGUGGGGGAUGACGGCCUUCGGGUUGUAAACUCCUUUCGACCGCGAGGAAGCCACCUGGUUGGAAGGGUGGUGAUGGUAGUGGUAGAAGAAGCACCGGCUAACUACGUG